AUGUACAAGUUGUACAAGAGCGAGCUGGGCGCGAUCACGCCUGAGCAGGUGGAAUGGGAGCCGUUGGAUAGGAAAAAGCAGCGGAAGAUCAAGGAUUGGGCCAAGCAUCACAGGAAGUAUGUUGUGCAGUUCGCUCUUAGUGUGGAGCAAGCAAGGGCUGGAAAACGAGCCCAGCUUCGUGAGCACUGCCCGAUCGCGUUCAACAACUAUCUCACAUGCUUUCUUGCAAGUACCCGCGUGGAGGUAUGCCAGCCGGCGUAUGCUGGGGAGAUUCUGGAAGAACCCGCCGUUUUUGAUAAGAUCAAGAAAGCAGCUGAUGAGACCGAGACUAUUCUGGAAACAACCCCGGCUGGCAAAAGCGAUGGGGAAGGUGCACUUCGAGCAUUCAUUAAGCGCCAGGUCCAAAAGUUAAGGCGGCUAUCAAACCUUUUCGGUUGUCGUGAGCCCGAGUAUGUAUCACCAGAACGGUCUAGGUCGGCGACACCAUCAGAUCCCGCUUCGGGGCAGGGCCAUGGUGAACCUUUCGAGGAUGAGGACGUGGGUGUGGUCACCCAAGAGGUUGCUGAUGAUAUGACCGUGGGGAGGUACCAGGCUCGGUCUGCAUACGAGUUGAAGCCUAGGACGGGAAUCAACAAGUACACACCUGAAGACUUCACCCAAAGAGGCCAAAGAGGCAAAAGGACGGUCGGCACCUCGCGGAUGGCGGCUUUGGAUGACUAUUUGGAUGACUAUGUAGAUGACGUGGACGAACCGGAGCCGGAGCCGGAGCCGGAGUGGGUUCCUCUUCCUAGGAAGGUGAAGAAGAUAAGCAUCAAGAGGGGGGAGGAGCCAGCAUGCGUGGAAAGCACUAGUCAUCGUCAUUUUUUUAUAAUGUUGAACUUAGAGUGGAAUUUGUUAUGUCGUUGA
This 906-nucleotide ribosomal RNA is filed under the name Triticum aestivum (bread wheat). RNAcentral describes it as "partial small subunit ribosomal RNA". Lineage: Eukaryota; Viridiplantae; Streptophyta; Magnoliopsida; Poales; Poaceae. The record is from RNAcentral.